This is an RNA transcript of Thamnophis elegans (Western terrestrial garter snake), 2257 nucleotides long. It is a transcript of the gene named transmembrane protein 183A, with no coding region annotated. NCBI's taxonomy places the organism in Eukaryota, Metazoa, Chordata, Lepidosauria, Squamata, Natricidae. The record is from RefSeq and is a predicted model, not a curated record. The transcript has 7 exons.
UACCAGUACGCCUAAAGAUGGACUACGACUAUUACAGUACUAUAACGCGGUUCUGUGCACUGCUGUGUCCAAUUAAUUCCCCCUUUCCAGCCGAAAUUACCUUUCUCGCCUCUUUCUUUUAAAAAAAUGUUAAAAACGACGGGGGGGGGAGUGUUUAUUCACGACACAAUUUGAACUAAGCAUGCUACCUGCCAUGCCAUUCUUCGGAUAAGAAAAUUCAAGGCCGAGAAUGGAAAAGAAAUCCUACCGGAAAGAAACCACCCACUGCCCGGGGGAAAAUAGAGUGCCACCCACUGGCAUUAUUAUAGCUGAAAACCAACAUCGUGUAUGAGGAAAUUCAAAAUAAUCCGAGCCCGCCUCGUAGCCAGGAGACAAGAGCCGCUCCGCCAACGCCCGACCGCGGACCCGCCUCCCGUCUCAAACUAAUGACGCCUCUGUGAGCGCAAUCAGGCCGCGUUGUCCUUCUCCGAGCCGGGGUGUUUCUGGGUACCGCGAGAAUUGCUCUGACUGCAGGUCACUAUGCCGGUAGGGCCGGGAUGGCUGAGGAGCUGCUGGUAGGCUCAGCUCUUCGGCCCUCUCUGACGAAAUGGCACCCCGAGACCGUCCGGUAGUGGCACCUCAGGCCGCCAUGCGCAAACGCGGGGCUCGAAAGCGCCUCAAGUUUCGGGCCGAAGACGUCUGCUUAGAGCGGAUGACCGUGGCCGACUAUGCAAAUUCGGAUCCUGCCGUGGUGAAAUCCGGACGCGUGAAAAAGGCUGUGGCCAAUGCGGUGCAACAAGAAGUGAAAUCACUCUGUGGUUUGGAAGCAUCUUUCGUACCCACUGAUGAAAUACUAUCUGUGGCAGAGUCCUAUGACAGUAGCGAUGAAAUGGAUUCUAAAUAUUUCACCACUGAUGAAUAUUUCAUGACUGAUAGAAAAAAGAAAAGCAAGAGGCAUAAAGAAAGCUCUGAGAGUGUGGUAGGCAAAGAAUAUCCAAUUGACAUAUGGUUGAUGUUGGCAUCCUAUAUACGUCCAGAAGACACUGUGAGUUUUUCUCUAAUUUGCAAAAGGGCCUGGAUUGUUACUUGUACAGCUGUAUUCUGGACCAGACUUUAUAGAAGGCAUUAUAAUAGGAGUGCCUCCCUCCCAAUCCGUUUACAGCCAGAAUCAAUGGAAAAGAUGUACUGCCUUCGUGCAUGUGUAAUUCGUUCAUUAUACCAUACAUAUAGACCUUUUAUUUCCCGGAUAGCCAGAAAUCCAACAAUCCCGGAGGCUACUCCAAGCAGUCUAAAAAAUUCAAAAUGUAGCUUCUGUGGGACACUGGAGCUGUUGUGGUGUCAGCAAAAGUUGCCCUUAAAGACAGAUCCACUGUUUGGAGCAGCAUACCAGUUGGUACACAUCUGAAGGGUAGGACAGCUGGCAUGUGGAUUUCUAUGUCUUAGGAAAUUCUUAAGCUACUUUCCUCCUUUUAACUAAUAUUCCAGGUUUCACAGACAAGAGGGCUAAUUCUACUAGCUGCAUCCCUCUGAAUCUAAUGCAGGUAGUCCUCUUUAGUGACUGCCUCGUUUAGCAACUAUUCACAGUUAUGACAGUAAUAAAAAGGUAACUUUGUGACCAAUCCUUGCAUUUAUAACUUUCUCAUGUCUGUAAAGCAAAGGAAAGCUGAAGUAAGAUUAUAAGCAUAGUUACAAUUAAUACAAUUAAUAAAGUUGUGAAUGGGCAUCUUGUAUGAUAGUUAUCUUCUCCAUAAAAAUCUGGAAUGUCUGCCCUAUUCUGGUUCCAGUAGUUUCUUGAUUUUUUUCUUGAUAAAGCAAAUAAUGAGCAAUUCUUAGCAAUAUUUUGAAAUCAUUAUCUCUAGAUUCUUUAGAGUCAAUUUGGAAAUAUUUGUUUAAGUUCAUCUUUCAUUUUAUUUCCAUGUAGUAUCUAUUUCUGUUCAGAAGAGGAAGUGCACAUUAUAAUACAAUGAUAUCCUUUUUUGAAAUUGAUGUCAAUGUUAUUUAUUUUACCCUCAAAGUGAUUUGUUAAAGUAUAAAAGCUCCAGACUGGAUUGUUUGAAUACGUUUAUGUUCAAUAAGCCACAAUCUUCAUUCCAAAGAGGUUGGAAGCCCAGUGCUUUAUUGCUUUAUAUCUGUAUAACACUAUGUCCACAGACCACAACUCUUUCUCUUUUGCUCAACUAGUGCCUGCUUUUCUGGUCUAAAAGGAUUAACCAGCAGUCUUCACUGUGGGAAUUCAGCUUCAAAUUCCAAAGGCAGUCUCCCAAGUUGAAGAAUAAAC